Molecule: ribosomal RNA, 254 nt
Filed under: uncultured bacterium
Lineage: Bacteria
Description: partial 16S ribosomal RNA
Rfam family: Bacterial small subunit ribosomal RNA
Source: RNAcentral
UACGUAGGGGGCUAGCGUUGUCCGGAAUCAUUGGGCGUAAAGAGCGUGUAGGCGGCCCGGUAAGUCCGCUGUGAAAGUCGGGGGCUCAACCCUCGAAUGCCGGUGGAUACUGUCGGGCUAGAGUGCGGAAGAGGCGAGUGGAAUUCCUGGUGUAGCGGUGAAAUGCGCAGAUAGUCGGGAGGAACACCUAUGGCGAAGGCAGCUCGCUGGGACGUUACUGACGCUGAGACGCGAAAGCGUGGGGAGCAAACAGG